RNAcentral lists this ribosomal RNA (425 nucleotides) under uncultured cyanobacterium. RNAcentral describes it as "bacterial SSU rRNA". It matches the Rfam family "Bacterial small subunit ribosomal RNA", at positions 356 to 795 of the family's 1533-position model. The record is from RNAcentral. Lineage: Bacteria; Bacillati; Cyanobacteriota.
GGGGAAUUUUCCGCAAUGGGCGAAAGCCUGACGGAGCAAUACCGCGUGAGGGAUGACGGCCUACGGGUUGUAAACCUCUUUUUUCAGGGAGGAAACAAAUGACGUUACCUGAAGAAUAAGCAUCGGCUAACUCCGUGCCAGCAGCCGCGGUAAGACGGAGGAUGCAAGUGUUAUCCGGAAUCACUGGGCGUAAAGCGUCUGUAGGUGGUCAAAUAAGUCAACUGUUAAAUCUUGAGGCUCAACCUCAAAAUCGCAGUCGAAACUAUUAGACUAGAGUAUAGUAGGGGUAAAGGGAAUUUCCAGUGGAGCGGUGAAAUGCGUAGAGAUUGGAAAGAACACCGAUGGCGAAGGCACUUCACUGGGCUAUUACUAACACUCAGAGACGAAAGCUAGGGUAGCAAAUGGGAUUAGAUACCCCAGUAGUC